UCCAAUGUGGUGUAGUGGCUAACAUUGCUGUCUUUCAUCGUAAAUUAUAAAGCACAGCAGCCCGGGGUUCGAUUCCCCGCAUUGGAA
Non-coding RNA from Gymnopus androsaceus JB14, 87 nucleotides. Lineage: Eukaryota; Fungi; Basidiomycota; Agaricomycetes; Agaricales; Omphalotaceae. The record is from the annotation of a GenBank genome assembly.